UACGAAGGGGGCUAGCGUUGUUCGGAAUUAAUGGGCGUAAAGCGCGUGUAGGCGGGCCGUUAAGUCGGGGGUGAAAGCACAGAGCUCAACUCUGGAAUUGCCUUCGAUACUGGAGGCCUGGAGCAUGAUAGAGGCGAGUGGAAUUGCGAGUGUAGAGGUGAAAUUCGUAGAUAUUCGCAGGAACACCAGUGGCGAAGGCGACUCGCUGGAUCAUUGCUGACGCUGAGACGCGAAAGCGUGGGGAGCAAACAGG
Molecule: ribosomal RNA, 253 nt
Filed under: uncultured bacterium
Lineage: Bacteria
Description: partial 16S ribosomal RNA
Rfam family: Bacterial small subunit ribosomal RNA
Source: RNAcentral